Molecule: long non-coding RNA, 1447 nt
Organism: Homo sapiens (human)
Lineage: Eukaryota; Metazoa; Chordata; Mammalia; Primates; Hominidae
Exons: 4
Source: RefSeq, a predicted model, not a curated record
GAUCAGUAAAAUAAUGAUGUAUUUUACAAUUGAUGUGAUUGAUACAUCAUACAAUUUUUAGAAAAUGCUUUUAGUAUUAACAAAUGAUCAUUCAGUGGUUUGUAUACACCUGGUAUUAUUCUACAUGCUUGAUGUAUUAUUAAUUCAUUCAAUCUUCACAGCAUCUCAGGAGGGAGACAGUAACACCACUCCCGUGAUCCAAUUCUGAAUCUAAGCCCAAGUCCUACAAGAAAUAAACAGAAAAACCUGAGCUUGACUCAGCCUGUUUCCAGAAUGCUUGCUCACAUCAAAUAUGUUAGAGUAUCUUUUAUCUUAUAUAGUAAAUACUUUAUAGGUUUAGUUUAAGAAUUGUUACUCUUCACCACAGUCAUGAAGCUAUCUUUUUAAGUUCUAAAUAAUGUAUUAAAUUGUUUUUAUAUUUAGGUCUGUGAUCCAUUUGGAAUAGGUUAUGUGUGUAAUGUGAGACGGUAGAUUUUAUUUCCAAUGACGCAUAUUCACAUCCCUACAUUUAUUGAAAAUUUAUUUCCCCACUAAUUUAUCUUAUAUAUUAUUUGCCUAUAUAUGCAUGUGUUCGUUUUUAAGCUCUCUUUAAUUUUUUUCCAUUGAUAUUCUCCAUCUUUGUGCAAAUACUGAGUUAGUCCCUUCAUUUAAUGCAAGAAUUUUCCUCCAGUGCCCUUUCUGUUGUCCACUGUACUGUUCUAUAAUGAAGUAAAAGAAGGGUGAAAAUUUGCACACCUUACACCUACACCAGGAUUCCCAGCUGUAUCUUGAAGGAAGCGGAGGUUAGAACUUUCAAGAUUAAUGUCGACACUAAUGUCUCUAAUGUCCUUGUGAAUCUUAGGCAAUUCUCCCGAGAUACUUUCUGCUUUAUUGUGUGUGCGUGUGUUUAACGUUCUCAGUGAAUUCCAUUUGCUGUCAGGACUCCUGAUUUUCUUUCCCUGCUUUUAGGAUACUCAGUGACUUUCUACUCCCCUAGCAACAGCCAGCAGUGGUAGGAACCUGCACAGACAACCCCAGUACCUUGUGCGCGGGCGCAGACACGCCAAGGGUGGUGGGUUGCUUCCUCCAGACCACGCCCACCGAUGCCGGCAGCAGCUGGUGCAGCGGAGCUCAGAUCCUCUCUGUGGGGUCUGCACCGGCAAGGGCAGCUGCUCCCUGCCUUUCCUCAGGAGUCAGUGGAGGUUUAGACAUAUGCACCAGUGAAUCCUAACAACAAACACAUGAGCUUGGAAGGGGAUCCUUUUCCAAGUGAGCCUUCAGUUGAGAGCCCAGCCCUGGCCAUCAUCUAAUCUGGAUUCCUGGCCCAGAGAAACUCUUUGGAAUAAUUCACCAGUGAAGUCAUCUUGGCCUGGACGGAAAUUGGAUCCUCACAACAAUCACAAUAGCUUUGAAGGUGAUCCUUCCCCAGGACAGAGUCUUGCUGUGUCUCCCAGGCUGGAAUGCAGUG